RNAcentral lists this ribosomal RNA (498 nucleotides) under uncultured bacterium. RNAcentral's name for it is "partial 16S ribosomal RNA". It matches the Rfam family "Bacterial small subunit ribosomal RNA", at positions 30 to 523 of the family's 1533-position model. The record is from RNAcentral.
AUUGAACGCUGGCGGCAUGCCUUACACAUGCAAGUCGAACGGCAGCACGGGGCAACCUGGUGGCGAGUGGCGAACGGGUGAGUAAUGCAUCGGAACGUACCUUUCAGUGGGGGAUAACGUAGCGAAAGUUACGCUAAUACCGCAUAUUCUGUGAGCGGGAAAGCAGGGGAUCGCAAGACCUUGCGCUGAUUGAGCGGCCGAUGUCAGAUUAGCUAGUUGGUGAGGUAAAGGCUCACCAAGGCGACGAUCUGUAGCGGGUCUGAGAGGAUGAUCCGCCACACUGCACCUGAGACACGGUCCCGACUCCUACGGGAGGCAGCAGCGGGGAAUUUUGGACAAUGGGGGCAACCCUGAUCCAGCCAUGCCGCGUGAGUGAAGAAGGCCUUCGGGUUGUAAAGCUCUUUCGCCCGGGAAGAAAUCGCACGGGCUAAUACCCUGUGUGGAUGACGGUACCGGAAUAAGAAGCACCGGCUAACUACGUGCCAGCCGCCGCCGUAA